UGGAUCUUCUCUCCUCCUCCUCCUCCCUACGGCUGCGGGACACGGUGAUAUACCGUAGGAACCAGGCCUGCAGUAAUAGACAUGGUUUUACACCACUGAAUUUGUGUAAUGUAAAUAAUUGAAUGAAUGAAUUAGCUGCAUUUUAAAUAAAAUUUUAAAUGCAGCAGUAAAUAUAUCUACUAUCAACAUCCAAAUUGCUUGAAGAAUUGUGGUUUUGAAUAAUUGAUGGAUUUGUGCUUAAUGCACAGUACUUGGAGCUUUUUAAUUGAUGAAGAGAUGGAUGCUAUGACCUCUUAGAUUUGUUUAUCUGGGCAAAAUAUAAAAUACUGCUUUAAAAAUGGAGCAGUAGCAAUGGCUUAAGUUCAUGUUAGCAGUCCUUGUAACUGUGAAAAUUAUAGGGAGUUGAGAAACUCUGAAGUUUACAGCCUUUAUGGCUAUUCAUUGUAAGGAUAUUUGGAAAUGUUUGUUUAAAACCAGGAAAAAAGCCUAAACCAGAAACUGAAAGGAAAGGAAAUCUAUUAAUCUUCCAUUCUGAAGUACUGAAGUACAUACUGUAUCCUAGUAUUUAUCUGUUGCAUUUCAGUAAAAUAUUAAAAAAUAUGUUUAAUACUGCAGAGGACUUAGUUAUGAAAGCAAUGUCAUUAAGUCAUUGAGAGCUAUCUGUCAUUAAAAAAAAAAAAUAGAAGAAACUUCCUGAGAGGAAACGUCAUCUGCAUCAUGUUUUUAGAGAGAGUCUAUUUUUCAGAGUGAGAAGGACAAGACCAAGAAACUAGAAACAAGCUUCCCAGCAGUGGGAUCUAUAGGUGGAAAUGUGUGUGUUUAGGUAUUUACAAGCUCUAAGAUAAUCAGAUUACUUUGGAGUGAAAUUCUCAAUGCUUCACUUCGCCUCCUAGAUAUUAAGAUUUUUUUUAAAUAUUAAGAGGUAUCCUUUCUUAAUUUAUAAUAGGAUGUCAGGAUGUUCUGAUUGACUUUGGUUGUUUCCUAGGUAAGCGACACGAACCAGUUUAAAUGUAGCCUUGGCCCAGAGCUUGAUAGUGUGCUACAGCUCAGUAAUGUGCUUGAUGAGCAUUCUAGGAAAGGAUCACAGUUUAUAUAUAGCUCCAGAUAUAAUUAGCCUAUCUUUGCUUCCCUUGGAGGAGAGAGUACAGCAGCAUAAUGUUAUCUUGUCGGUUUUGUGGUGUAAGGCUUGGUCUGUUAAGGUUGUCACUGUCCAAAGUGUCAAAGAAAAAAUACUGGAAUAAUGUAAAAAUUUCCCUGUGUGUCCUAUCUUUUGUGAGUUGCGGGAAGUGUUAGGUCAGACAGCUAUUUUGAAACUUGUAUGAGGAUAUAGACUGUUGUCCCUAGGAAAAAAAUUCUUAGAGAUAUCUAUGCACAAUCUUGCCUUUCAAAAUCACCACUACCACACCUUUUGGACACUCUUAGUUUAGUUGCUGGGUUUGGUUCAGGCCCUUUAUUUUCCUUUCUUCCGUCUCUAUAUGUCUUUUGAACAAAUGUUUUUUUACUUGAGUUCAUACUUUUAAAGGACUAAAAAAGGGGAGAGAAACUUGAAGAAAUUAAAAUCAGUAGUUCUAGCUAUGUCUAUCUGCAGUUUGUUUGUCCACAUACAUGGUAAUUUGACUCUGAGAUUAAUAAUAUAAAGUGCUGCUUAUCAAAUUUUGAAAAUGCUAUUUCUUCAUUCAGAGCCACACAGACCUGGGUACUUUAGCAGAUUCCUUAGCAUCUUUAACUGAUGACAUUUGCCUUGAGUUAACCUUAACUGAGAGUUCUGCAAAUCAUCCCAUUCAGAAAAACAGUGUGUUAAAUUUACAAGCAAGUCUUACAAGGAGUCAGGAACUAGGAAAGGAAAUUGAAGUUUUAUUACAAUGUUAAGCAUGAUGGCUGAAUUUCUACUUUUUUUUUUUUAACUUACAAUAAAUCUGGUUGAUUUUUGCAUUAUAUGAAAACAUAUCACGUGGUUUCUAAAAUCUUUCUUCAAAAUCACUUUUAUCCACUUUUUUGGUUGUAAUUUCCAUAUAGUUGCUGAUCUGUAUUCUUGCUAGUGAGUAAAAACUGAUUCUUGCAAAAGGGCUUAAAUAGUACCAAAUCUCAUUUCGGUGAGCUUUAAUAAACAUGGGUUGUAUGUUGCACUUGUCAGAUGCACCUUUUAAUACAGAAUCUAAUGACUGUCAAUUAUGAUUACCUCCUCAGGAGGGUCCUGUAAAAGCACUCAGCUGAAUCCUGAAGUACUUGCCUUCGUAUUUUGAGGCUUGCAUGUGUGCUCUACUCGGUUUAAUGAUAGCGUUUCCUACUUUCAGUUCUUUUUGUAGAGAAUCAACGAUGAUCCAAUCCAAAGUUUCUUCUCGCACUUCUAGCUAUCUCUGUUUUCUGAAUACCAGCAGUAUAUUUUUAAAUCAUCUAUUUUUAUACUUUUAUUAUGAUCCACUUAUUUUGAUAAUGCAUAGGUACUGUGUAGACAAUUCAUAGCACUUUCUUAGGUAAUGCAAGUAUUAACAAGUGUACUUUAAUUCUUAACUCAAUAUAAUCAAGAAAGUAAAUCAUGUGCCAGUAAAUCAUAGGAUUGUUAAGGCUGGAAAAGAACCUCCAAGAUCAUUGAAUCCAGCCAUUACCCUAGCACCACUAUGUUCAGAACUAAACCAUGUCCCCAAGUGCCACAGUUGUUCUUUGAAAAAAAAUAGCUAAGCAUGUUUUUCUAAGUUCUUGGCAUUGGCUACACAUGUUGCAAGUAUUUCUGAGUUAUGGCUGCCGUGACACUGAUAAUGUCUUCUGUAUUAGGAAAUGUUAAUUCCUAAUUUUUAAUUAGUGCUUCAGUUUUUAAUCAGUGGAAUAAUUAUACCCUCAAUCUAGAGCUUAUCAUGGUUUAGGGAAUAUAUGUAUAUGAAAUUAAAAAAAAAUUCUGAGAAAGGAAAAUGAAUGAAGGACAGAGGGCUUGAAACAAGAUUCUUCUGUGCAAAGCCAGAAUGUGCAGAAGUAGAAUAUCCUGUUGAUUUGAUUAAAACAGAAAUUUGCAAGUGUUUUAUGCAUAUCCAAAUGUUAUACUCAUGAGUGAGAAUCAAUAUUGGUAAACUUAAGUACUUUUGAAGAUGUUUUCAUUAUUAAAUUUGAGAACAUCUCUGCUUCAGUGUGUUCUUGAAUUAUCUAAAGAUACUUGAAUUUUCAAGGACCAAGUGCUGCGUGAAAAUCAGUUUGCUUUGGGCAUUUUUUUUCUAAGCUGGAUUCUUUAAUAACCUGUAAAAUAAGUUCAGGUCAAACUUGUAGCUUUACAGCUUUUUCAAUAAAGGUAUUGCUUCUGAACCUAUGUUCAGCCCCCAACCUCCUCUCUGUUGCAGAAAUAUGGAAGGAUGGUUGUAUAGGAAAAAUCUUUUGUUCAUGUACAUGUAAUGGUGAAUUACACAUCUUAGCAAAGGAAAUGGAAGGAGAGGAUAUGGUGACUUACUGAUGAUCAAAUAUUACUGGGAUGUCUCUGGUUCUUAAAUUCAUGUAAAAGGUAGGGAAGGGUGCUACUAGAUGUGUUAUAUAUAUAUAUAUAUAUACACACAUAUUUAACUUUUUUUUUUUUUUAAAGCAACUUUAGCUGUCAGAGGAAAUAUCUGCCAGUUUACAUAGCUUUGUAGAUAAAGUUCCCUGUGGUGAUUUGGUCAGCUUGAGUAUUACAUUUAGAAAAAGUAUUUAGAUUCCAGUCUUGUAUAUGGUCUAGUUCUGAUUAUCUCAGACAUCAGUUUGAUUCAGGUACGCGUUCACUAACUUAGUGGUCAUUUAUUUCAUUCUACUGUAGGAUACAGCAAAAUCAGGACAGUUUUCUUUCACACUUCACUAAAAGAAUGUGAGGUCGCUAUUUUGUUAUUUCUCAUGGCAUGACAGUUCCUCUGUACUCGAAUGAUAAAUAACUACCAUUCUUGCUAUUUUCUGAGGUUAGAAAAGAAAAACAAAUUACCUGAUCAAGUCAUGCCUGAUCAAAAUUGGGUGAAAGGAAUAAAUACUUAGUGACUUCACAACUUAUCAGUCUUCUCAAAGGCAGCUGCUUCCCCUCAUUGUUUAAUUGAGAGUAACCAGGAAUGAGAGUGACAUCAGUGGGGUACUAUUAAGCAUCCAAUUAGCAUGAUUUUAACAUUAUGUUAUGAAAAUAAAUGAUUAGUGUUUUGGGGAGAAUUUAUGAAGAAAAUAAUUUUCAGUAGGCAAAAGGAAAAAUAUGAUAAUGGGAGGGGUAAAUUAAUAGGAUUUCAGUUAGAAUUCGUUAAAUUAAACUUUAUAGAUGUCUGUUCUAUAUAAUUUCUGAACCUACUGAAUUUAGAAACUAACAAAAAAGCUGUUGAUUUGUUCUAAUGGUUUUUGUGCAGUUCCUGAGGGUUGGGACUAUUGGGGCAGAAGGUGGUGUUGAAUGUCAAAAUCAGUAUACUUCGUGUGAUGCUCUUUCAGGUUUAUCUUAUCAUUAACAAACAAGUCUACUCAUUAAUGAUAGAAAAAGUAGGCAUUAUUUCAAAUAAAUAGAUUAAAUCUUGUAUUUUUCAUGACAACUACUUACUGUGGUAUUGGCAAGGCUCUGAAAAGGUUGACAAGUUACGUUGCUUCAUCUAAUUCGAAUAAAUUUCUUGAGCUAAGUAUUCAAACCUCUGUGGACUUCAUGUUGUCGGUUUUGGUGUAAGUUUUUUUUCUUCAGUCCAGUUUUUCUUUAUUUUAGAUUUUCCUUUCUUUCUUCUGCACGUGAAUUCCUUCCAUAUGAAUUUUAGUGUCUCAUUACUGUUGGAAUUCUAAAAGGACGAAAGCCCAGGGAUCCCGACGGGGGGAGGAAUGCAGUCCAAAACCAGUGUGGUUGAUAAGCGCAAAACUCCCGGUUUAUUAGCAAUCCAAAACCACUUAUAUAGUAUACCAGCUUGUUAACUCCUAAGUGGCUUAAAGCUUAUCACAGCACAUUUCUAUCUCUACAUAAUUGGACCUACAUUGGCAAGCCUCCAUAGUCAUGUUAUGAUUAAAAGAAUUCGGUGUUCACUCCUCCUGCUCCCUGGUUAGCACACCUUAUCAGGACAGCUGCAUCGUUUCAAACUCCCUCUUUAUUCCCAGGCUUGUUUCUCACACCAGCGCUUUCUCAUGCAGGCAGUUUCUCACACACAGGCCUUUUGCUUCUAGGCCUAUUGCUUGUACAGUUUUUCUAUAGAUCCCAUAAUUCUAUCAAUAAUCCAUGCCCCUGAUCCUUUAAUAACUGCAAAACAUUACCAGUUGUAGGGUAGUCAGGGAAAGCCUGACAGCAGAACAGUUUCUUGUAAGAAAAGGAGACUCCUUAAGUAUUUAAAUAAUGGUUUCCUCUGUCUCUUGCUCAAAUGCAAGGAUGUACAGUACUAGAAAUAAGUGGGAUUGUACCCUUCUUAAAAACAUACUGUGUAGCUGGAGACUUCAAAAUAAAUUUGAACAUUGGGGGGGGGGGGGGGGGGGAGAUAAAACACUUCUCCUGUUAACUAUGUGUUAAAGUCAUUAUUCUGCAGUGACAAGAGCUGAGGGUGACUUUUGGGGGUGGUCCUGUGCAAGGCCAGGAGCUGGAAUCGCUGAUCCUCAUGGAUCCCUUGAAACUCAGCUGAUUCUGUGAUUCUGUAUUCUUUUAGUUUGCCUUUUUUUUAUUUGGUAACCUGACAGGCUGCUCCUCUUUUCUCUUUCAAGUUAAGUACUAUGUCUAUUCAAUACAGAACAGAAAAUAAAGAUUAGUAGAUAGCUAAUACUUCAAAUAAAUGCUUCUAGGUCAAUAUUGGGAUGAAGUUGGUUUUUUGUUACAGGUUACAGAUCUAUAACUAAGUAAUUGACAAAUCUAUUCCCUCCUAAGUUCAGAGUUUAGGUACACCUUUUAAAUCUGUAUUUCAGAAAAAUUUGUGUUUUCCUUGGUCAAUUAAGUGCGAAGUAUGACUGUCAUCUUACUGGUGCUUGUGAUUUCCUUUGAUGGAUUUUGCUUCUUUUUUUUUAAUUUAAAAUAGUUUAUAAAAUUACUUUUAGAGAGUGAAAUAAUACGGCCUAUAUUUUAUCCUGUUGUCAAUCCAAGGUUUUCUAACUUAAAGUAAAAAAAAGAGAAAUUGAUAAUUAUACUGAUUUGCAUUUCCUACCUUUUUUCACACCAUAAUUGCUUGAGCUUAAAUCAGGCUUAUAGAUUCAUAAUUUGCAUAGUAUCAUAUUAGCCUCCUUCAUUGUGUUUGAUAGUUCUCUGAAGGUGUCCUUCAUUACCAUGGAAAUCGUAACAUAGUCUGUUUCAAGCUAAUGUCUGUAUAUAACAUAAAAUUUGGUUCCUUGAGGUUUAAAUUGCUCAUACAAUUCAUAUUGGAUGUCAAUUCAUAUUUGUCCAGUGUACAUGGAAUGCUAAUUAUAACAAUAUUAAAAAUAGUCUGUUUGUACCUCUGGAACCUAGAGGCUGAGAACACCUAGAGUGGGUUUAUGUACGAAGUGUUUGACAACCAGGAUCUGAAUCAUUAAUUAACAGAUUAAAAAAAAUAUUAGCCUUUGCACCUAUUAGCGUGAAGUUGAUAAUAAAUUCCUAGCUCCUGAGUAGAGUGCAUUUGUAUUUUCUGUUCAGCUGUUGAAACCCUGAGGACAAUUAAUUGGUUUAUAUAUUCCUUGAUAGUGUGAUAUGCCAACUUUGGUGGGCUGCAGGCAGUGCAUAUGAAUUGUGUAUGAACUGAGUGCAACAAAAAGGAAGUGCAGAAAACCUGCUUAAUGUCGCUGUUAUCCCUAGGGAUGGCGCUAAUCAUGACACGAAUUCAGGUCCAGGAUGAACGGAAUUCUUUAAUUAAUUACCGUUUAUAUAACUUGGUUCGCAGUAAAGAAAUGACAUCAUUGGGUGCUUGACCAUACACAUCCCAGAGUGAUUGGCUGGAUGCUACAACGCCUAUUUCAAAAUAUUUUCUUCAGUGAACCAAAACAAUACCCACCGCAUUCUCACAACACCCUGCACCUGCAAAUAGUUUACAAAAUAGCAAACUCUCAGCUUAGUUUGCGUGAGAGCGGAGACUUUCGCAGAAGACUAUAAAAGGUGGAAAAUUUCUCUGCUACCUUUUUAAGCAUCCUUAGCUUAACACAAUACUAGAUAACCAGUUAGUGUUUAAAAAUAUCUUUUUAACUGACAGGAGUAUUGCACUUGGGAUUGUAAAAAUAAAAUGGACAAUACUUGCUAAAAGAGACCCAGACAUUUUUUUUAUUUUUUAAAUGAGGUUUCAUUUUCCUGUUUCUUCCAUGAUGUUUUUAUCGAGGAUUUGCCUGGGUACUUACAAUCUGCUCCACUGGUAUAUAAAAGAGUAGUUGCAAAAAAGGCCCCCAGGCUUCAGGGUUCUACUUUCUGUACGUAUCGUCCUCACAUGUACUUGAAAUAUGAUGCCUUUCCAACCGUUCUCCAGUUUUCAACUUUCAGAGAAAGCAUUUGAGAAAAAGAGGCUAAGAAAGCACUGUGGGUGGACUUAAUUGGCACAAGCUGCUUCACUGGCUUUGGAUUACUAUGGAGGUCCUGCAAGAAUCCUUUGCAUGAGGGAUGAGAUAGUUGUACUCCUACCAUGACGAAUGCUUAAUUCUCUAUGAAGUGUGAGCCACAUUAGCAAGAACUGCAGUGUUACCUCUUGAAGUAAAAAUCUGUGUGCCUUCAGAAGAAUAUCUAUUGAGUGCAGCAUAUAGUUUUCUUUGGAAAAUACCUAGUGAUGCAACACGACAGGGUAUUGCAUUCAUGCCUGCUUUGUGCAGUACUAACAAUAGUGAUGUGAAAAACGAGGUUCACUCUCCUGCUAGGAUUCAAAUGUUUAAUAAAGGACAAUAAAGGACGAAGAUAAUAAAGCAAAAUUCACAGCGUUGGGUGCUUUGGCACUCAACCAAGAGCACACCUGUUAUUUUGGAGACACCCUUUAUAUACCUGUCCUAUUGCAUCAGCCGAAUGCAUACUCAUAAUCAAUUAUGCAUAUUCGAACUUUUCCUUAAACUAGUUUACAUGUUCCAGGAACUGUUUAGCAUGGCUCCUCCUUGGAUCUGCCUUUUUAGAGCAUGCGCAUUUCUUGGCUGUGGUUUUAGUCAGUUUUUAUUAUCACCCCCAGAGUGGGCUUUGGUCGAUGGUUUCUGCAGACGGUAGUUGCUGAUAGUUGGUAUGUCAAUAGCAGGGGUCUUCAACACACGUUGGUUGGUUGUUAUCUAACCAAGCAGACAGUUCAACUACCACAAGCAUAACUAUAUUAGCUAUUUCACUAUUAUGUCUAAGUUCAGUUAAUGACAGAAAUAAAGGCCUUAGUUAUUGUUACAAAACUACAUCUUUAUAACAAAGCUACUUUAACAUUAUGCAUAUAGCAUCUAUUUGUAGAAAGCCAAUGCUAUAAUAUGUAUCUAUCACAAUAACAAAGCUACUUUAACACCAUUCAUUUUAACAUUUGCAGAAAGCCAAUAUUAUAACAUUUAUCUAUCACAGUGAGAAUGGCUUUAGUAGCAAGCCUAGUUCAGCUUUAAAUAGUUAGAAAUUUAUUGUUGACCCUUUAAGAAAAGACACUGCAUACAUCCAUUAUCCUAAAACUAAGUUUAACAGGCUGCGUAAGAAAAGGGAAAUGCUGUCAUAUUUUGGUUUCAGAAAGUCAAAUGUAUAGUUGCUAGAGGAAGGCACAUUUCUCAUGACUGUUUCAUAUCAAGAAGGACUAUGAGGAAAAAAGUGAAUACUAAAACUAUUACUGCCUUUUCGUCUUCCGUUCAUAAAAUUUAUCGCAAUAGAAGUGUAAUCAUAAUAAUUCCAAAUUUUUAUUCUUAAUACAGACAAAAGAGAGUAAGUUAAGCAGCAAUCACUGAGUUGUGUAAUGACUAUGUAAUUUUUGGUGACUUUGCCACUAGUUUCAUAAUAUGAACAGUGAGUGUUACGCUACAAAACAUUUGGAUCUGUUUCACUCAAGUAGAUUUCAAAAGGUUCUGUCCUUUGAAGUCUACAAGAUGUGUACAUAAAAUUCAGUUUGUUUAAUUUUCUUAUUGGACAGUGUGUAACUGAAAAAAUGCACUGUUUUUAUAUAAUUUCUGUAAAAUUCCAUUAAAAUAUUUAGAAUAUUUAUUACUCUUAAUGUGUUUAAUUAUCUGGGAUUUUACUGAUGAGAGUGCAAGAUCUUGACUGGUUUCAAAGAGUUUUCAUUAUGAUUUCCACAAAAUGUUUAUUAGGAUGGUGCAAUGAUCAACAAACUUUGACUUUAAAACCUGACUUGUGUUAUUAGCAACCAGUUUUAAUACUAAGUGAAACAAAAAGACAGAUAGUUGUAUAGCUCCUAACGUACCUUCCAGUGUGGUGAAUGUCAACCACAUUGUUGACAUAAUUGUUAAGUUGGCCUCUUUCCUGUAAAUAAUGUACUGCAACUCCGUUUCCUAUUUUCAUAUUUGCAGUCUUUGAAACCCUGACAUAUGGUUAAGGGUGUACUGCAUGCAAAUAAUCUCUGUCCAAGGAACAGUCCUACUGGUCUGACAUGGUCUUCCUCCCUGUUUUGCUGCUGUUGUGCCUCAGUUAUUUGAUCUUAAUGUGAGUUUUACUGAUUGAACUGCAUUUUAUAAAUAGACAAGCAUGAUGAUUGCUUCCUGAAAACACGUAUAUUGGUUAAGUCUUGCAGCAAGAACAGGGAACAUAAGUGUCCUGGGUUGCAGUGUAUUCUAUUACCAUCCCCAUCAGCUGUUGAAAUCAGGUGGGGCAGUGUUUCCUUGCCU
Long non-coding RNA from Corvus hawaiiensis (hawaiian crow), 9666 nucleotides. RefSeq lists it as uncharacterized. The transcript has 3 exons. The record is from RefSeq and is a predicted model, not a curated record. Lineage: Eukaryota; Metazoa; Chordata; Aves; Passeriformes; Corvidae.